CCUACGGGCGGCAGCAGUGAGGAAUAUUGGUCAAUGGCCGAGAGGCUGAACCAGCCAAGUCGCGUGAGGGAAGACGGCCCUACGGGUUGUAAACUUCUUUUGUCAAGGGACAAAAUCAGGCUCGAGAGCCUGACCGAAGGUACUUGAAGAAAAAGCAUCGGCUAACUCCGUGCCAGCAGCCGCGGUAAUACGGAGGAUGCGAGCGUUAUCCGGAUUUAUUGGGUUUAAAGGGUGCGUAGGCGGACUGUUAAGUCAGCGGUAAAAGCCCGGGGCUCAACCCCGGCGAGCCGUUGAAACUGGUUGUCUUGAGAUGUCGAGAGGUAUGCGGAAUGCGCAGUGUAGCGGUGAAAUGCUUAGAUAUUGCGCAGAACUCCGAUUGCGAAGGCAGCAUACCGGCGGCGAUCUGACGCUGAGGCACGAAAGCGUGGGUAUCGAACAGGAUUAGAUACCCGUGUAGUC
This 459-nucleotide ribosomal RNA is filed under the name uncultured bacterium. RNAcentral describes it as "partial 16S ribosomal RNA". It matches the Rfam family "Bacterial small subunit ribosomal RNA", at positions 338 to 795 of the family's 1533-position model. The record is from RNAcentral.